AACGAACGCUGGCGGCAUGCCUAACACAUGCAAGUCGAACGAGACCUUCGGGUCUAGUGGCGCACGGGUGCGUAACGCGUGGGAACCUGCCCUUAGGUUCGGAAUAACUCCCCGAAAGGGGUGCUAAUACCGGAUAAUGUCUUCGGACCAAAGAUUUAUCGUCCUUGGAUGGGCCCGCGUUGGAUUAGCUAGUUGGUAGGGUAAAAGCCUACCAAGGCGACGAUCCAUAGCUGGUCUGAGAGGAUGAUCAGCCACACUUGGACUGAGACACGGCCCAGACUCCUACGGGAGGCAGCAGUGGGGAAUAUUGGACAAUGGGCGAAAGCCUGAUCCAGCAAUGCCGCGUGAGUGAUGAAGGCCUUAGGGUUGUAAAGCUCUUUUACCCGGGAUGAUAAUGACAGUACCGGGAGAAUAAGCUCCGGCUAACUCCGUG
Molecule: ribosomal RNA, 433 nt
Filed under: uncultured bacterium
Lineage: Bacteria
Description: partial 16S ribosomal RNA
Rfam family: Bacterial small subunit ribosomal RNA
Source: RNAcentral